This is a long non-coding RNA of Larimichthys crocea (large yellow croaker), 908 nucleotides long. RefSeq lists it as uncharacterized. NCBI's taxonomy places the organism in Eukaryota, Metazoa, Chordata, Actinopteri, Sciaenidae. The record is from RefSeq and is a predicted model, not a curated record. The transcript has 3 exons.
UUAAAUCCAGAAGGAAAACUUUGUGGCCACAAACAUUUUUCAGCAGAGAGCACCGGGUUAUUUUUCUUCAUGUUUCUUGACGGGUAAAGAAAACUCUUUCUCUGAAAGUCACAAAGCCAGUUUUCAGAUAGACGGAGGCAACAGAGAUGAACAACAAAGCCACAACAACUUCAAAUCUGAAGACUGAUGAUGAUGUCGAGGCGAUGAAAAUGAAGAAUUAACAUCUCGAAGAAAACCAAUUUGUUUUUGCGGCGUUCGUUAGCAUCAGUGUUGUUGAUCAGCUGCCAGGAAGGUUGCAUGUUGAUUGACAGGUGUGAUGGACUUGUGAACAUCGCAGCUAAUUUUGACAAAUAGCUCCAUGUGUAGCAUCACAGAUCGCAGCGGCAUGAAAUGAGCUUUAAUUACUGCCAGUUAUUGCAGCUCUGACGAUGUUUGUGCUUUGUUUUGCUCCAGCAGACUCGUUCGGCUUGUAGACGAGCCGAAUGUGAUGAUGUUGAAGGUGAACAUCUCGAAACAUUUGUGCACGACGUGUGCAAGUGCAUCAGUUAUUUAAAGCUUCUCCUGAACAUGAUUAACCUCCUGGUUUGUCUGUCUUUAUAUUCAGAUUUAAUUUCAGCAAAGACUCAUAAUUACCAGUUUCAGAUGUCUGAUGUGAGUUAAGAGCUCUAGUAUUUGUUUUGUUUGUUGUGCUUAUUCUAUAAUGGACACCCACAUGUUUUCAAAUUCCACAGGCUUGUGGGUGAAACUCACUUUAAUCAGAAGUGACAGAGGAAACUAAAUCAAAAUAAAUUUUAUUUUCAGAGUGGCAAUAAUGAUGUUUUGCUGCCGGGUAGAACAUAAACCUAAAACUAAACAGAUAUGAAGCUUAUGAUGGGUUAAAAACACGUUUCACAAAACUCAACAACAGA